AGCAGGGAAGAAGCGAAAGUGACGGUACCUGCAGAAGAAGCGCCGGCUAACUACGUGCCAGCAGCCGCGGUAAUACGUAGGGCGCAAGCGUUGUCCGGAAUUAUUGGGCGUAAAGAGCUCGUAGGCGGCUUGUCACGUCGGUUGUGAAAGCCCGGGGCUUAACCCCGGGUCUGCAGUCGAUACGGGCAGGCUAGAGUUCGGUAGGGGAGAUCGGAAUUCCUGGUGUAGCGGUGAAAUGCGCAGAUAUCAGGAGGAACACCGGUGGCGAAGGCGGAUCUCUGGGCCGAUACUGACGCUGAGGAGCGAAAGCGUGGGGAGCGAACAGGAUUAGAUACCCUGGUAGUCCACGCCGUAAACGGUGGGCACUAGGUGUGGGCAACAUUCCACGUUGUCCGUGCCGCAGCUAACGCAUUAAGUGCCCCGCCUGGGGAGUACGGCCGCAAGGCUAAAACUCAAAGGAAUUGACGGGGGCCCGCACAAGCGGCGGAGCAUGUGGCUUAAUUCGACGCAACGCGAAGAACCUUACCAAGGCUUGACAUACACCGGAAAA
RNAcentral lists this ribosomal RNA (550 nucleotides) under Streptomyces sp. KIRL4. RNAcentral describes it as "bacterial SSU rRNA". It matches the Rfam family "Bacterial small subunit ribosomal RNA", at positions 438 to 997 of the family's 1533-position model. The record is from RNAcentral. Lineage: Bacteria; Bacillati; Actinomycetota; Actinomycetes; Kitasatosporales; Streptomycetaceae.